Mus musculus (house mouse) is the source of this 2370-nucleotide long non-coding RNA. RefSeq annotates it as predicted gene, 51484. The record is from RefSeq and is a predicted model, not a curated record. The transcript has 3 exons. NCBI's taxonomy places the organism in Eukaryota, Metazoa, Chordata, Mammalia, Rodentia, Muridae.
AUUAAACUAGAAAAGACAGGGGGACAGACUUUACCGAUGGACAGAAAACGGAUCAUCUAAACAUUAAGAAACUAAGUUUCAAGAUGUGGGUCUUAGGGCAACAGGAUUUUUUUUUUUAUGAUUUUUUUUUUUAUUUAUCUCUUUGCCAGCAGGGAUCAAACCUUUUGCUUGCCACAGUAAGGAUGUGCCAUCUGUAACUGACAACCCUAGCCUCCUUCUGUUUCUGAGAUGGUACCCUGACAGGGCUGCUGAAUUUCUCCUCAGGGUCCAGCAACAUCUGCAGCCCAGUACAUGGUUCCUUCCGUUGUUGUCGUAAAUGACCUCCACCUAUAUGUCCUCAUGCUCCUCUGAGCUCCACGAGGAAACUGACUUUGUCCUAAUGACUUCUAGCACCAGGCGUGAAAAAUGCUCAGCUAAGGAUCUCAGCAGAAUGAGAGAUUAGUUUUCCAUAGAAAACACUCUGGCUCGCUUAUCUCGGCCCGGCUGCCUAUUCUGAAGCAAGAAGAUUCAAAACGGCGUUCUCUGCUUUCACGGGGCUUUCCUUGGGGUUGAAACCACAGGCUACAGCUUGGGAUGAUGCUCACCGGGGAAGGAUCCUGAGAGAUUAAUAAUGCAUCUGAGAAUGUGGGCACAAGCCGGGCCCCGGUUCGUUUGAGGAUGAUGGAGAUUAUCCACAGCCUGCUUUUACAACACUAGAGUUGCAAACAAUUCUAAUUUCUUUGCAUCUUUCCUUAAAAAGGCUUCCCUGAAUGUCCAGAGACUUGUCUUAGUAGCUGGCUUCUAGUGCCAACAUACUAGAAAUUAUGUAUGUUGCUAAGAAAAAAACCUAUGUGUGUGUGUGUGUGUGUGUGUGUGUGUGUGUGUGUGUGUGUAAGAUUGAGUCUGUUCAUUUCUAUCUGUAAAAUGCAUUUAUCUUAGAAGGUUAAAUGUGCAUGCUAACUUUAUAAUAAUUACAAUUUCUCAUAGACUUCAAAACAGCAUUGAUUAUAGGACAAACUUUUAUUUUAGGUGCCACUACGAAAGAAAACUUGGUAUGUGUAUGCGUGGUAUGUGUGUUCACAUGUGUGUGGGUGCAUGCGCCGACGAGUCACAUGUAGAGCCAGAGGUUGGUAACGUUGGGUGUCUUCUUUUCUCCCAGCCCAGCUUAUUGUUUGUUUAUUUAGCUUUUGAGAAGAGAGACUCAAGAAGACUGUAGCUCACUGACUGGUCAGACUGCACUGCCAACAGCUACCCCUUCCUUGCCCCAAAGUACUGAGAUUAUUACAGAACUGAGCCACACUUCGUUCUAAAGGACAGUACCCUGACAGCUCAAGCAAAGGACAGAGAAAGACGGAAGGAGGAAACAAAAGCCAGAGGGAAGCCCAUCUCAGAGCUAUCUUCCUCAUAGGCGGCAACAGGAGGCAGGAAGCAACAGGGAGGAGAAUGGGCUAUCAUGCAUCGGACCCACAAAACAGAGCACCUGAAGUAAUGCCCCCAACCCCCAUCAUACCACCACAGCUUGACUGAAUCUCAGAGACACCGUUGGAAAAGAAAGCAAAACAAAACAAGUGCUGUGUGACUCCGCUUGCAUGAAGCUAAUCUGUGUUGACAGAUAUCAGCAUAGGGAAAACCAAGUUGGGGCAGCGACAACGGGGAGAUGUCAGAAUCUCUACAGCCUGGUCUCCAUCAAGUACCUUGUACCCUCCCCCACCCUUUCUGAAAGGAACUGUCUACUGUACACUUUUCCUUUUCCUUCGUCAUCUUUUCAUAAUGUGGGGUAAUAGGGAGGUGGCCAGGAGGUGUCUUGUAUCUUCUGCUCACAGGUCUAAAGAUAGAGGGGGAAUAUACUUGCUACCAAGUACCCUCAUCUGCACUUGGACCAGAUCUUAUGGGACACUUACUGGUGUGUCAACCUAAUGAGACUUGGAAUAGUUUGCUCCCCAGUGGCAGAACAACAGAGAGGGACAGAGCUGACUUUCUUUCAGUCCUUUGGAGCUCAUGAGAGUCACAGACCCAUCAGCCUAUAUAAUGGAGACUCAGAGAACCAUAUCCUCCCAACAGGAUGAAAGCAAACUACAUUGAUCGCAUUAAACCAUGACUAAAAGCAGCUUGGAGAGAAAAGGGUUAAUCUGAUCUUAUAACUCUCAGGUCAUAUAGUCCAUUACCAAGGGAAGCCAGGGCAGGAACUCAAGGCAGGAACCUGGAGAUAGGAACUGAGUCAGAGGCCAUGAAGGAGCGCUGCUAACUGGCUUGCUCAGCCUGCUUUCUUAUAGAACCUAAGACUUGCCCAGGGAGGGCACCACUCACAGUGGGCUGGGGCCUCCCUCCCACAUCAAUCAAUGCCCACAACAGGAUAAUCUGAUGGAGGCAUUUUCUCUGUUGAGAUUCCCU